UAUAUAUAUAUAUAUAUAUAUAUAUAUAUAUAUAUAUAUAUAUAGGUGUUACAUUCAUCAGGUGGCUGGAAGCAGGGCUUCAAAUCAAUGCGAAUGUCGAUCCAUGUCUACUGGAUUUGUACAAAAGGUGCAUUUCCCGGAAUAACUUAACUAGGACAUUUGUCCACCACCUCCUAGACGACGCGUCUCGAGCUGCUUACCUUCGAGGGAUUACGCGACGACAACAAUGCAACGGUAGCAGCAAUGGUAAUAAUGCUAUUAGCUCCUGGCAUCUAUACAGGGAAGAAAUGAACUGUUUACAAGUACUGGAGGUCACGACCUUUCUGUUAUAAGCAACUUAUUUAAGCGGAUGCAGCUCUCAUCCCCCACUGCAAACCCCCCCCCCCCUCCCCCCUUGCACACACACAGCCCUGUGAAAAGGGGCUGAAUCAUCUGUGCUAAUGAGGGCCUUCAAUUUCCAUGCUGCUCCAAUUCUGACUGUGUCUGCGUCUGCUUUGACCACUAAAGAGGCCCAGCUGCCCGCAGAAAUGCCUACAAGGGGAUGCCUGCCUCCCAACUCCAUGCUCUUUUGUGUGCGUGUGUUUUUUUACCAGCAUGAAAAAGUACAUUACACAACUUGUUUGCGUGAGUGUUUGUCCAAGCUAGCAGCAGCAGAUGCUGCGACCUCCUGGAUCGUGACCUCUAAAGUAAAUCUGGUUUUGAAGUAUUUGCUUGGAAAAUACGACCACCGCAGUUUGGUGAGCGAACCUUUGUGUGAUGUUGCCGCUCACCCGACGUGACCAAACCCUGUAGGUCUACUUUGGAUGAUUGAAACUGUAAUUGCAGCAUAGCCAGUCUAAUCACAGAGGCUUCUAUGGUUGUGUGUUUGUGACUGCACAAUGGCGGGGGUCCAGGCCUUAUCCGCGCGUGUCCGUCUAUCUUUGCAGGUGAUGAUCGGAUCUCAGGCGGCAGCUCGUGUGUGAUUGUGUUUGAGGAAUCCGGCCCCCCCCCGUCUUCCAAUCUGUCCAUCUCUCAGCGCUCUUGUAGCGGCGGAUGAGAGUCCCGCCUCUCUUCAGCAGGUGAUCACAGGACUUGUGUUUCUGUUUUCUUGAAAGAGGCCUGUCACACUGGUAUGUGGCCGCACUGUUAACACACACGAGCCUGUUUGUAGAGCUGGUUACUGGACCUUCUUUUGAUAUGUAGCAACGGAUCUUACUGUCUAACUUUAUUUAUGAAACUAUCCCAAUAUUGUUAAGAAAGUAUGAAGGAAUGCUAAGAAUGUACCAGGUGACUCUUCUGGUUGCAAAAACAAGACUGUUUGUGUGAGAAUAGGACUUUGUUUGAUUAAUUGCCUCAGUCAAGAUGGAAAACAUGAGUUUAUGGUUUCAAUUGGUAGUUUUCAGUCUUUUCUGUUCAUAAAAACGAGUUGUAUCCUUUUUUUGUCAUCUAGAACUGUCUUAUUCAGAUCAGUUGUACUUAUCUUAUCCCUGCUGUGUCCCUUCUGGUUGCAAAAAAUAAACUGGCAAUGGACAAAAACCAAGAUGUCUACAGACAAAAGCCGAACAUUCUACUGAAACUCCGCCCACCAUGUUCUGUGCAUAACGAAUUCCCCAAAAAGUUUAGAUUUUCAUUUGUCAUUUUCUAAUCAGACCUUUUAGUUGUCUGCCCAGUCUCCCAAAAACCCAUAUUUCUCAUUUUCAGAUAUAUGGCUGUAGAUGGAAGGUAUGGAGGGACAUUAGCAAUCAGUUCGUAGUGAAACCAGACUCUACUUGCCUUGUCUUACCAACCUCAAACCGUAUUGUUACUCACUUACUUACUUUUUAGAAGCAGCACCAUUGAUCGGCCAGAUGGACUGCCACAAAAUUCAUGUUUUCAACCAUCAUGUGCUCUAUGACACCUAAUGAUCCCAUUAGUUUUCCUCCACUGCCACCAAAAGACAUCCUCAACGGUGACGUUUGGCUCCUACGAGAAAAAGUCGAAACAGAAAAGGGUGGAGACUGGCCAUGUGACUCCGCCAAUGGCGACGCGAUCUGUCAGCAAUCAGCAAACCCAGAAGAAGAUAGAAUCAGUAAACGGCAGUCAAGUCAAGCAAGACCGACCCUAAAGUCUUCUUUUUGGAGGAAGGGGGAGGUUCCAGCUUCUACACAAACGGAGCCUCCUCUGUCAUCACCACCACCACCAUCUUUGUUGAUUCAAGUUACAAUAAUAUGUGGUCCAACUACGUGGAACUAUGUUCUUACGGUCUUAAUUGCUGUAUCAAUCCGCAUGUUAAAGUGUGUAUUUAUAUGUGCUUCGUAUUUGUAUUUUUA
This is a non-coding RNA of Gasterosteus aculeatus aculeatus (three-spined stickleback), 2288 nucleotides long. NCBI's taxonomy places the organism in Eukaryota, Metazoa, Chordata, Actinopteri, Perciformes, Gasterosteidae. The record is from RefSeq and is a predicted model, not a curated record.